UACGUAGGGGGCAAGCGUUGUCCGGAAUUAUUGGGCGUAAAGAGCGCGUAGGCGGUCCGGUAAGUCGGCUGUGAAAGUCAAGGGCUCAACCCUUGAAAGCCGGCCGAUACUGUCGGACUAGAGUCCGGAAGAGGCGAGUGGAAUUCCCGGUGUAGCGGUGAAAUGCGCAGAUAUCGGGAGGAACACCAAUGGCGAAGGCAGCUCGCUGGGACGGUACUGACGCUGAGGAGCGAAAGCCAGGGGAGCAAACGGG
RNAcentral lists this ribosomal RNA (253 nucleotides) under uncultured bacterium. RNAcentral's name for it is "partial 16S ribosomal RNA". It matches the Rfam family "Bacterial small subunit ribosomal RNA", at positions 524 to 776 of the family's 1533-position model. The record is from RNAcentral.